GGAGAGUGGUGUAAGGGGAGCACCUGGAGUUUUGAUCUCCUGAGUAUGGGUUCGACCCCCUUCUUUCUAG
Non-coding RNA from Sinocyclocheilus anshuiensis, 70 nucleotides. The record is from Ensembl. NCBI's taxonomy places the organism in Eukaryota, Metazoa, Chordata, Actinopteri, Cypriniformes, Cyprinidae.